Molecule: ribosomal RNA, 253 nt
Filed under: uncultured bacterium
Lineage: Bacteria
Description: partial 16S ribosomal RNA
Rfam family: Bacterial small subunit ribosomal RNA
Source: RNAcentral
UACGUAGGGUGCAAGCGUUAUCCGGAUUUACUGGGUGUAAAGGGCGAGUAGACGGCGAUGCAAGUCAGAUGUGAAAUGCUAGAGCUUAACUUUAGAACUGCAUCUGAAACUGUAUUGCUAGAGUGCAGGAGAGGUAAGCGGAAUUCCUAGUGUAGCGGUGAAAUGCGUAGAUAUUAGGAGGAACACCAGUGGCGAAGGCGGCUUACUGGACGACAACUGACGCUGAGGCUCGAAAGCGUGGGGAGCAAACAGG